This 693-nucleotide ribosomal RNA is filed under the name uncultured Lactobacillus sp. RNAcentral describes it as "bacterial SSU rRNA". It matches the Rfam family "Bacterial small subunit ribosomal RNA", at positions 1 to 704 of the family's 1533-position model. The record is from RNAcentral. Lineage: Bacteria; Bacillati; Bacillota; Bacilli; Lactobacillales; Lactobacillaceae.
UCGGCUUAGAGUUUGAUCAUGGCUCAGGACGAACGCUGGCGGCAUGCCUAAUACAUGCAAGUCGAACGAGUGCUUGCACAGUGGCGAACUGGUGAGUAACACGUGGGAAAUCUGCCCAGAAGCAGGGGAUAACACUUGGAAACAGGUGCUAAUACCGUAUAACAACAAAUCCGCAUGGAUUUUGUUGAAGGGUGUUCGUAUCACUUCUGGAUGAUCCCGCGGCGUAUUAGUUAGUUGGUGAGGUAAAGGCCCACCAAGACGAUGAUACGUAGCCGACCUGAGAGGGUAAUCGGCCACAUUGGGACUGAGACACGGCCCAAACUCCUACGGGAGGCAGCAGUAGGGAAUCUUCCACAAUGGACGAAAGUCUGAUGGAGCAAUGCCGCGUGAGUGAAGAAGGGUUUCGGCUCGUAAAACUCUGUUGUUAAAGAAGAACACCUUUGAGGUAAUUCAAGGGUUGACGGUAUUUAACCAGAAAGCCACGGCUAACUACGUGCCAGCAGCCGCGGUAAUACGUAGGUGGCAAGCGUUGUCCGGAUUUAUUGGGCGUAAAGCGAGCGCAGGCGGUUUUUUAAGUCUGAUGUGAAAGCCUUCGGCUUAACCGGAGAAGUGCAUCGGAAACUGGGAGACUUGAGUGCAGAAGAGGACAGUGGAACUCCAUGUGUAGCGGUGGAAUGCGUAGAUAUAUGGAAG